This is a long non-coding RNA of Felis catus (domestic cat), 2984 nucleotides long. RefSeq lists it as uncharacterized. The transcript is spliced from 3 exons. Lineage: Eukaryota; Metazoa; Chordata; Mammalia; Carnivora; Felidae. The record is from RefSeq and is a predicted model, not a curated record.
AGGAGCCAGUCCGGGAUCCCACCUGAAAGGUAGCCAUCGUGUCUCCUGGCCCAUGAUGGUUCCUCACGUUUCCCGUGACUUCGACCAUCUCAGCGAAUCCUGGCCAGAAUCGAGCAAGCUGCCUGCCUUGUCAUUCCCGUCCUCUGAGGGGAGAGAGACGGUCCCUCGCUGGAGCCAAGGAGAGAGAGCAGCGAGCGGGUUCCUGACUCCGAGCCCCGUUUGUCCUCGUGCUGUGAAGCAUAAGCAUUUGUCAGGUUAGGUGAAGCCCCUGUGCCCGACCGCGAGCCACGGUGCUGUGAAGGAUUGUCUGAGUCUAGGUUCCUAAUGCAAACUGCAACAUCGGAAUUGAAACGUGCUUGAUGGAAUUAAAACAUUAGUAUUGGCUUUCAGUUCUUGCCUCCCUGGCUCCCGUAACAAAUGUAGGGCAUCUUAAAAAUAAAAGCCAACAAACCAAGAGAAAACAGCCAGACGCCUUUGCAAGACAGAGGAGGCACAAAACCUCUCUGCGAGACUUGAGAGUUGAUCUGCCCCAGUGUGAACUCUGGCACCUGUUUAUUCUCUAACUUGGACAUGUACUUUUCAUUUCUUUUAAGUAGAAUGUUUUUAUUUUUACCACGGGUAUGGGGAGACACUGUGACAUGUCGAUAAAUGAAAUAAUCCCGAUUACCACGUUAAGCCACAUGUCGGGAAUUUUAGAAGGAAAAUGCCGUUAAGAAACCCAGUGUAUAUAUGUUUACCCUCGUGUCAAUGUUUAAACAUGUGUAUACACCGGGUCUCUCCAAAGUGGGGUUCGGUGACUGAUCUCUUUCAAGAAAGUUCAUGGGGCAUUUAAUCAGAGUUGGCCUCCUAUUGUCUGUGGACUGGGCGUGGUCCCUGGCAUCUGGUCCUUUACCAGAUAGGUUUGGUAUUCAUCAAAAUGGCGGAACCAACAUGUGUGGUUCUCCACCCCUGGAGGAUGUUCAGGCUUAUCUUUAAUCCCAAAUCUUGGAACUCUAAGUAAACUGGGACAAGCAUGCCUUUUAAGCCCCAGUGAACCCAGAUCCAGUGCCUUAAUUCUAGUUCCACGAGGCUUGAGGACAUCUAUGUUUGGGUUACCACCCUGACGCUCACCAAGGGGCAGGACACUUGGACCAAGGGAGCAAAAUGCCCCAAAGGGCCCCGUCUGGGCUCCAGACAUUUCCAUUCACUUAUGCUCAUGACGUUUCCAGCAAUCUCAAUGGAAAGCUAAGAAAGCCAUGGCAAACUUCUCUAAGGGGUUUCUUUCUCCCCGCCAUCUCGAAACCUGGCUCUUCAGACAUCUGUCUGGUGGGGAGCCACGAUUCCCCAGUCUCCAUUCCUGCUAAAUCUCAGUUGGUCCUUAGCCCCGGGAGAGUGAGAAGGUAAACGGGGGAGGUUCAGGAACCAGUGGGGACACUCAUCAGGCCCUAGUCGGUCCACCCAGCCCACAGUUAGGGAAGGAAACCUCCAGCACUCGCUCAGCCUCCACGUCCCGUGAGUCCUGGGCUGGCUUGGGGAUGGCUUAUGCUGGUGUAACCCCAAGGUUUUGGACUCCCCUUCAUGUCACAAGCAGGCUGCUCCUCCAAGGAGCUGAAGAACUGAGCUUCUAGAUCUGCCUUUUUAGUCCAUAAGAUUUCCUUGGCCUCACACACUCGUUCACUCCAGGCUCUGGACCCCCGGGUUUCUGGGAUGGUGUCUCACACCCCAGCCCUCUCUCUCCUGAGUUUGUUUCCAGGGCGUUGCAGAGUGAGGCCCUUGACUCUGCCCUGCUUCUGUUCUGAAGAGCUCGGGGUAAUUUCUGGCUAUUUUCCCAGAGGUGUGGUGGUGCGGGCUCCCUGGUUUGGCCCCUGUGGCCGGCACACCCCGCUUUGGGUUGAGACUGAGCGGCUUGGCCCACGGAGCUCGGGAUGUUGUCCUGGGGUCUGAAACUUUCCUGAGACUUGGGCCUGUCUAGGCGAGGUGAAUCUAUGACUCUCCAGACACGUUUUGAGUGAAUUGGUUUCAGCUUUCACAAAAUGCUAAUGUUGAUAUUGUUUACGUCUGGCUGCAUUGUUUUUCACUUUAAAAUUACAGCUUUAGUACAUUAAGCUAAUUUCAUAAUACUGUAUUAACUUAAUAUUCCAUAAAUCACACAUGUCAGAUUGCAUUGUUACGGAUGCACAAAACCCAAAUUUACUACUCAAGCUCUCCAAACACAUGUAUUCAUAAUUUGCUCCAGCGAGCCCUGUGCUGCCAUAUAGGGUUAAGGAAUUACACGUUCCAAUGCCAGGCACAGAUCAUGCCUCUCUCUCUCUCUCUCUCUCUCUCUCUGCAAUUGUUCUCCAUACAAAUUGAAACAAUAUAUUUCCAGCCAUUUUCAUAGUUGUAAUUACUAGCAAAAAUCGUAAUACCGCGAACAUAUUUUAAACACCUGCACUUUUGGUCCAACUCAUUUUUUUUUUUUUUUCUUUCUUUUAAGCUGAGUGUUUCCAUUUGAAUAAGGUUGAGAAAGCUCACUGGUGGUAGCAAUCUCUGGGUAUGUUUUCUCCUGGAGGAAGAUUAUGACUUUUGACUUGGAAGGGAGAGGUAGAGAGAAAAUGGCAGAAGGAGUUCGGGCGGCACCCUCUCUCUCCAUUCAUUCCCCUCUUUGCUCUCUCUCUUCCUCUUCCCCUUGGGGAAAGGGAUUUAAUUGCAGCGAGACUGGCUUUCACGCGUGCUGCCCGGCCCUCUUGCAAGGGUGCAAAGUUCUGUGCCUAAGCCUGGCUGGCUGGUUCCGGGAACAAAGGGAUGCUCUCUGUGGGGGACAUGGUGCUGGGCUGGGGCACAGAGGAGCCUCUGUAGGUUUUUAACCACACACUGUCUAAUCGGGCUCUGACAAGCCCAUUGUAAAUCAAAGGUCUGGUAAGUGGGGAUGCCAGAAAUGUUUGAUCUCCUUCCAAGCCUUGAAACAACUUGCUUAUUUUUUCUGCAGUUUGGCCCCUCACUAAAAUAAAACAUUGAGAGAUGAA